UACGAAGGGGGCUAGCGUUGCUCGGAAUUACUGGGCGUAAAGCGCACGUAGGCGGCUCUUUAAGUCGGGGGUGAAAUCCUGGAGCUCAACUCCAGAACUGCCUUCGAUACUGUAGAGCUUGAGUUCGGGAGAGGUGAGUGGAACUGCGAGUGUAGAGGUGAAAUUCGUAGAUAUUCGCAAGAACACCAGUGGCGAAGGCGAGUCUCUGGACGACUCCUGACACUGAGGCACGAAAGCUAGGGGAGCAAACAGG
This 253-nucleotide ribosomal RNA is filed under the name uncultured bacterium. Its description in RNAcentral is "partial 16S ribosomal RNA". It matches the Rfam family "Bacterial small subunit ribosomal RNA", at positions 524 to 776 of the family's 1533-position model. The record is from RNAcentral.